This 202-nucleotide long non-coding RNA is filed under the name Elaeis guineensis (African oil palm). RNAcentral describes it as "long non-coding RNA (EGUI_LNC049104)". The record is from RNAcentral. Lineage: Eukaryota; Viridiplantae; Streptophyta; Magnoliopsida; Arecales; Arecaceae.
UAUCAGGUCUUGGGCAUGGAGAUGUAAGGAAGAAAGCAAGAAGGGGCGUUGAGAUUGUUUUGUGUCCUAAGGAAGCCAUCCGCCCCUUCAUGCCAAAAACCUCAUGCCACCUUUAUUUUUGUCACACAAAUCCUUGUAAUCACAUGCCUAACCUCUUCUUAAUGCUCUAAUAGAUCAAAUCUUAUUUGAUCUUAGGUAUUCA